This 158-nucleotide unclassified non-coding RNA is filed under the name uncultured Ascomycota. RNAcentral's name for it is "sequence contains ITS2". The record is from RNAcentral. Lineage: Eukaryota; Fungi; Ascomycota.
UCACCAAUCAAGCCCCCGGCUUGGCGUUGGGUGCCGUCCCGCCCUCUGGCGCGCGGACGCUCCCCAAAACCAUCGGCGGUGUGGCACCGGCCCUGAGCGCAGCAGAUGUUCGCUCUGUGGGUCCCGGUGCGGCAGCGGCCGCGACGAAACAACCACCA